UACGGGGGGGGGCAAGCGUUGUUCGGAAUUACUGGGCGUAAAGGGCGCGUAGGCGGUUCGCUAAGUUGAAUGUGAAAACUCUGGGCUUAACCCAGAGCCUGCAUCCAAAACUGGCGAACUGGAGUACUGGAGGGGAAAGCGGAAUUCCUGGUGUAGCGGUGAAAUGCGUAGAUAUCAGGAGGAACACCGGUGGCGAAGGCGGCUUUCUGGACAGUAACUGACGCUGAGGCGCGAAAGCCGGGGGAGCAAACAGGAUUAGAUACCCUGGUAGUCCCGGCCCUAAACUAUGGAUACUUGGUGUGAGGGGGAUUGAAUCCCUUCGUGCCGUAGCUAACGCAAUAAGUAUCCCGCCUGGGGAGUACGGUCGCAAGGCUGAA
RNAcentral lists this ribosomal RNA (377 nucleotides) under uncultured bacterium. Its description in RNAcentral is "bacterial SSU rRNA". It matches the Rfam family "Bacterial small subunit ribosomal RNA", at positions 524 to 898 of the family's 1533-position model. The record is from RNAcentral.